AGUGAACGCUGGCGGUAGGCCUAACACAUGCAAGUCGAACGGAAGCACAGUAAGAGUUCGUCCCUAAGGGUGGCGAGUGGCGGGUGGGUGAGACAUACAUAGCAUUCUUAUAAUUCGUGGUGGAUUACGGAGGGAAGCUUACGCUAAUACAUCAUACUUCCAACCGGUGAGAGCAGAGGAUCUUCGGACCUUGUGCGAUUCUAUGAGCCGAUGUCGGAUUAGCUAGUUGGCGGGGUAAAGGCUCACCAAGCCGACGAUCCGUAGCUGGUCUGAGAGGAUGAUCAGCCACACUGGAACUGAGACACGGUCCAGACUCCUACGGGAGGCAGCAGUGGGGAAUAUUCGACAAUGGGCGCAAGCCUGAUCCAGCCAUGCCGCGUGAGUGAUGAAGGCCUUCGGAUUGUAAAGCCCUUUUGUUGGGGAAGAAAAGAAGCAGGUUUAUACGCGGCUGUUCUGACGGUACCCAAAGAAAAAGCACCGGCUAACUUCGUG
RNAcentral lists this ribosomal RNA (492 nucleotides) under uncultured bacterium. RNAcentral's name for it is "partial 16S ribosomal RNA". It matches the Rfam family "Bacterial small subunit ribosomal RNA", at positions 29 to 507 of the family's 1533-position model. The record is from RNAcentral.